AUGUUCAAAAUUUUAAGUGAAGCGCCCAAAGGAGUCCCGACGAUUAAACAAAUAGAAGCAGUUGGCAAGGUUUUCAAGACUCGUCCUUUUUCUUCAAAGGGAAAAGGUUCACACGACAAUGGCCUCACCGAUUUUAGCCAGCGAAAGGAAUGCCAACAGAAAGUUUGUGCAGAACGCGCGUUAAGAAAACCCGAAAUCGAAGAACCGAAAUGCGAUAAGGUAUCCAGUCCCAAGACGUGGCGUGCAUGCCCAGAUCCACCAACUCCCAAGGAAUUUUCGUGUGACGAUACUUUGCAACACAAAGUACCUCGGCGAAAGAAGCGUGCUAUGGCAUCUCGACCAGCGUGUUCAAAACCGGCACCAAGCGUGGAAGCUUUGGAAUGUGUGAAAGUCAAGACCGACCUGUGUCCUCGAAUCGGUGUUCCAGGAUGUCAUAAGGCAAAGUUUCCACCUAAGUGUGACCUGCCCAAGGCAGUUCGGAAUUGCAUUAAAUUGAAGGCGCCUGUCCCUUCGUUCUCGGAAUGCUACCGAAAUCCUUUUCCUCCCCAGCUUCGAUCCGAAUGCACCUGUUUGACGACACCCGAAAUUUGCCUUUGAAAUACCAGUCAAUUAGAACGACAUGAAUAGUAUAAAUUUUGAGAUUUCUGUCGGCAAAAUUAAGAAGUGCCUUUAGGCAUAGUCAUCCAUUCCGCCAGAUUCCUACAAAAAUCCUAAAGAGGAAACCCAAAUUGUAAUGUGUAGAAGCCGAGGAGACCGUAGCCGUUUAGCUGCAUUUUUAUUUGUAACUCAUUAUGUACAAAU
Molecule: RNA transcript, 801 nt
Organism: Wyeomyia smithii (pitcher-plant mosquito)
Lineage: Eukaryota; Metazoa; Arthropoda; Insecta; Diptera; Culicidae
Exons: 2
Source: RefSeq, a predicted model, not a curated record